RNAcentral lists this ribosomal RNA (279 nucleotides) under uncultured bacterium. Its description in RNAcentral is "partial 16S ribosomal RNA". It matches the Rfam family "Bacterial small subunit ribosomal RNA", at positions 506 to 784 of the family's 1533-position model. The record is from RNAcentral.
UGCCAGCAGCCGCGGUAAUACGAAGGGGGCUAGCGUUGUUCGGAUUCAUUGGGUUUAAAGGGUACGUAGGCGGAUAAAUAAGUCAGUGGUGAAAGCCCGAAGCUCAACUUCGGAACUGCCAUUGAUACUGUUUAUCUUGAAUUUGGUUGAAGUGGGCGGAAUAUGACAUGUAGCGGUGAAAUGCAUAGAUAUGUCAUGGAACACCAAUAGUGAAGACAGCUCACUAAGCCAAUAUUGACGCUGAGGUACGAAAGCAUGGGUAGCGAACAGGAUUAGAUA